Molecule: long non-coding RNA, 488 nt
Organism: Drosophila pseudoobscura
Lineage: Eukaryota; Metazoa; Arthropoda; Insecta; Diptera; Drosophilidae
Exons: 3
Source: RefSeq, a predicted model, not a curated record
UUUGUAUUUUUUUAUUAUAGGUUUUUUUCAAGGUCUGCCAUGAUAUAGUGAUUACGAAGUGAUUCCAGCUCAAAAUAUAAAUGCUUUUUGAUGAUUUCGCACGUUCUGGGCCAUACAUUUGAUUUGCUUUCACACCGUGGCCUAAAAAGAGGCUUCGACUUCGUCUUCGGCUUCCUGUUCAACAAGUAAAAGGCCUGCCCAGGUGUGCUAUAUCGUUUAUAUAAAUCUUCAUAUGGAGAUAUAUCUAAUACUGAUUCUAUCGAAAUAAUUGUUGGUUAUCUAGUAGAUACGAUCAUUAUGAUUUGGUAGCGCCUUUGACCCCCUUCAAUCACGCCUCACGCUGCCAUCUCUAGCGUUGAACUACAUCUUCCAAUUUCGGAGUAUUUCAUUUACUUGAGUUUCACUUUGAAAUGCAAACCAGAGGCAAAACGUGGCGCACAACGCAUCCAUAUCCGCUAAUUACGCAGCCACCAGCGGCCUGGCCCGGC